This 510-nucleotide ribosomal RNA is filed under the name uncultured bacterium. Its description in RNAcentral is "partial 16S ribosomal RNA". It matches the Rfam family "Bacterial small subunit ribosomal RNA", at positions 28 to 507 of the family's 1533-position model. The record is from RNAcentral.
GACGAACGCUGGCGGCGUGCUUAACACAUGCAAGUCGAACGAAGAGCGAUGGAAGCUUGCUUCUAUCAAUCUUAGUGGCGAACGGGUGAGUAACGCGUAAUCAACCUGCCCUUCAGAGGGGGACAACAGUUGGAAACGACUGCUAAUACCGCAUACGAUCUAAUCUCGGCAUCGAGGAAAGAUGAAAGGUGGCCUCUAUUUAUAAGCUAUCACUGAAGGAGGGGAUUGCGUCUGAUUAGCUAGUUGGAGGGGUAACGGCCCACCAAGGCGAUGAUCAGUAGCCGGUCUGAGAGGAUGAACGGCCACAGUGGGACUGAGACACGGCCCAGACUCCUACGGGAGGCAGCAGUGGGGAAUCUUCCGCAAUGGACGAAAGUCUGACGGAGCAACGCCGCGUGAGUGAUGACGGCCUUCGGGUUGUAAAGCUCGGUUAAUCGGGACGAAAGGCCUUCUUGCGAACAGUUAGAAGGAUUGACGGUACCGGAAUAGAAAGCCACGGCUAACUACGUG